UUCCGACAAUAAAUCCCCAGAAAAAUUCUUAUUUAGAUGAUUUAGUACUUGUGGACAAAAUUUGCCUCAAGGAUUACAAGUUUGUGCGUGGUGAUGUUGUAGUGUUCAUGUAUGUUCCUUAUGCCAAACCACGUUUGAGUCAUCCUUUGACAAGAACUAUAUAAUGAGUCUUAGUUGAUUACAUGUAAUAUGAUGGAUAUGAUAAUGUGGUCUGGCCACCCAAAGAGUUAGCAAGAUUGGUCGAUAAAGCUAAUUGAGAAGAAGAAGAAGGAGAAUGACAUGGUGUGGCAAACGGCUUCUCUUUACCAUUUGGUUCACACUGCAGCUCUUCUUUCUGCACCUAGCACCAAAUAUCCCAACAUUUAAAUCUCUCAGGCGGAGUCAUUGGAGAUAUAGCGGAGGAGGAAGGAGGCGGAGGAAGAGAAGGUGAAGAAGAGUCGAGAUUGAGAAGACCAUAAGUAGUUGAAGUUAGCUUAACGAAAUGGUGGCUUAAGGUGGAGGCAUUGAGCUGAGAAGAGAAGGUUUCAUCGGUCGGAUUUAGGAGACACAACCACCCAUCACCGGAGAUUUCGAGGAUUUCUCAACGUCGACGGAGGAAACAAAAAAAAAAA
Molecule: long non-coding RNA, 611 nt
Organism: Camelina sativa (false flax)
Lineage: Eukaryota; Viridiplantae; Streptophyta; Magnoliopsida; Brassicales; Brassicaceae
Source: RefSeq, a predicted model, not a curated record